AUUUUCUUGAAUAAACACAAAAUCUCCCAUCGUUAACAAACCAUUCGACGAUCCCAAAAUCUAGCACUUAACGUUCAAGAAAUCCAGGGAUAAAUUAAAAUGGGUGGAAUGAAGUUGAGUGCAUUGGUGAUUGUGGUGGCAUUAGUGAUGAGUAGUUUCACGGUGGAGGGGAGGAGAGUGGCGGCGGGAGAGAAGCAGCAGGCGGUGGAGGUGGAGCAGCAGGAGGCCGUAGUUGAUGACGAUGGUGUUGUUAGUAGUUUGGAUAACCACCAUGCUUGCUCCAUGGCCGACUUCAGCAGGGGUACCUGUGAUCCAGCCUGAUCACAAAAUUGCCAAAGAGAUGAUGAGAGAACCAGUGUGUAGAAAUAUCUGUAGAAAUAAUUAAGCUGCUUUUCAAAAUAAUUAAUUAAAUAAUAGAAAUAAUUAAGCUAAGUUUGUUUAAGCUCAACCUUCUACGGUCUACGUGUUGUGUGUAUGUACAAAUUAAUGGAGAUAAUGGAGUACUUUGAUGUGGCAAAAUAUAUAAAUUAGUAUUUGUGGAGUA
Molecule: long non-coding RNA, 544 nt
Organism: Salvia hispanica
Lineage: Eukaryota; Viridiplantae; Streptophyta; Magnoliopsida; Lamiales; Lamiaceae
Source: RefSeq, a predicted model, not a curated record